CCUACGGGUGGCAGCAGUCGAGAAUCAUUCACAAUGGGGGAAACCCUGAUGGUGCGACGCCGCGUGGGGGAAUGAAGGUCUUCGGAUUGUAAACUCCUGUCAUGUGGGAGCAAAUUAAAAAGAUAGUACCACAAGAGGAAGAGACGGCUAACUCUGUGCCAGCAGCCGCGGGAAUACAGAGGUCUCAAGCGUUGUUCGGAAUCACUGGGCGUAAAGCGUGCGUAGGCUGUUUCGUAAGUCGUGUGUGAAAGGCGCGGGCUCAACCCGCGGACGGCACAUGAUACUGCGAGACUAGAGUAAUGGAGGGGGAACCGGAAUUCUCGGUGUAGCAGUGAAAUGCGUAGAUAUCGAGAGGAACACUCGUGGCGAAGGCGGGUUCCUGGACAUUAACUGACGCUGAGGCACGAAGGCCAGGGGAGCGAAAGGGAUUAGAUACCCCAGUAGUC
RNAcentral lists this ribosomal RNA (446 nucleotides) under uncultured bacterium. RNAcentral describes it as "partial 16S ribosomal RNA". It matches the Rfam family "Bacterial small subunit ribosomal RNA", at positions 338 to 795 of the family's 1533-position model. The record is from RNAcentral.